Molecule: long non-coding RNA, 2142 nt
Organism: Gallus gallus (chicken)
Lineage: Eukaryota; Metazoa; Chordata; Aves; Galliformes; Phasianidae
Source: Ensembl
AUUUUUUUUCUUGAUUCCCUAUGGGCAUUUUUCAUAGAUAUAAGUAUUUAUACAACUUAAAGGAACAGCCACACUGAAGAUACUCUGACUGAUAUAGAAAACCCUAUGAAGAAGACAUAAAGAUUCACAUCUCACAGAACAAGAACGUACUGAAUUCUUCCUUGGUCCUACCGAUGCAAAAACCAUAGAAACCUCUAUGUGUUGUUGGGUCUGAACAUCAGGUUUUUUGUGCAGGGAGAGUGAAGUGCUCCAAAUGAGGUUUUGCAGAGCUGGCUUGCUGUGCUUCCAGCUGAGGUAGAUCAUCAGAAACAUGGAGGGCCAGUGCUGAUCGGAAUGCACAAAAAGGCUGAAACACAAAAUCUGAGGCUUGUGGAAAAAGCCUCUUUCUCUAUCAGAUUUACAGCUGGAAAUCAUCUCCUGAAUUUCUUCACCUAAGCCAAUCCAACUGCAUUCAUAUGAAGUACAGAUAAGGAAAGGACCUAUGUGAUGUCUGGUUUCUUAAGUGUUAUCUGGCUCCAGGUGAAGUAUGAAUCAGUGUUUGGAGGAGUUCUAUAAGAUCAAAUCUGUGACAGCUGCAGGCUUGCUCAUCUCAAGACCCUCAGACCACUUCAUAACCAAGGAUACAUUAGUGGAGCAUCCUGAAUAAUCUUAUGUCUUUCCGGAAGUCAUUCUCAGCUGGAUUUUGGCAUAAGACUUGUUGUUGAUAACAGCAGAUGUGCUUUCUGGUGACUUUCUCAAGAUAUUCAAAGUAAGUUCAAAGCCCAUUUUGUGCUGCACACAUCUGUAUAAUGACAGACACCUAAGGACAUCUGCACCGGACUGAAGGAUGUGACACGAGACCAACAGGAAACACAUGAUCAUCUAACUUUGUAACUGGAGACCUAGUGGGAUAACUUUGGUCAUCUAAAAUGUAAUUAGAUUUCUAUGACAAGACAGAUGAGUCAUUUCUGAGUAGAUGAAAACAUUGUUAUAGCUUGUGUUUUGUAGAUGGAGAGAAAAGGCCAAGGGAAAUGCCACAUCCAGCACAAGUAAUGAAUUUUCUGGUAAAGUCAGGUGUCAAAAGCAGAGCACUGGAGUCUCUCAGUUGUGGUUUGGCCAAGGUUUUGAGGCUGAAUUGUGUAUCCCAAACACAAAAAUUUGUACCCAGCUCACUGGCAAGAGAACCUCACUUCUACUCAGAAAAAAAGGGUCGUGUUCAGUCUGGUUCUGUAAGUGCCUUAUGCCUCACCAUUGCUUCCUCUGUUAGUUGUGCAGGGAUCAGAGUGAGGGAAAUUGAUCAUGAGAUAAAGCCAAGAAUCCCCUUCCAAAAUCUAAGAUAGUAAGACAGGUGCCUAAAUUUACCUUCAGUACCACAGUAAGUGGUCUGAAAAAGUAUUACUGCUCACAGCUUGACUAAAAUAUCCUACAUAAAUCUUGAUUAUCCCCUUUAUGGUGAAGUUCAUGUGGGUCACUAUGAUUUUGGGGCUAGCAAUUAACUUUCCUUAUACUAUUCCCUGUAAUUAGAAUCAUAUCUGGAAACAGUGUUGCCAGGGUAAUUGCAAAGGCAUUUGUAGGCGUUUUAAUAGGGACCACUGUGUAAAACUUUCCCCUGUUGCUGAUUUUGGCAUCCUGACCUAUGUUUUCUCAUGUUCUUUAUAAAAAGAGCUGUUCUAAAUGUUUUGCUGGCUGCCUUGCCUCCCUUUCCUGACCUCUUUCUUAUUAAAAGCUAUAGCAAGAAGUCAGUCAUUAAAAGUUGAUCUGUCUGUCUUGAUGAGACUCAGUUCUUAACACAAAUUUCCUAGGGUAUCUGCAUAAUAGUUAUAUAAGGUAUUAACCACCCAGAUAAACACUACCUAUGAGGAAUGAUGUGCAAUUGUGACUUAUUUUCUAUUUAGUAUCUGUGGUUUUAAUAGAUGUAAGAACAAACAGAUAUGGUGCAAUAGAGAAUGCAGUAAAUUGAGAAUAAAAUGUAUAUAUAUACUUCAAAUGCAUCUUGAUGAUGAAGUCUCAAACAGAGCUGUUCUCAAAAGGUAUCAGUAGCCAUCAUACGAACACACCAUUCCCCCUCCUCUCCCAUCAGUCCUAAACUUACUCCAGGGCAAUAGUGCUGACUUCCCAACUAAAUAGGGCAUCCUACCAGCUAUCCAGAAAGACUUGUGAUUU